AGAAAACACAGUGUUUUGUUGAUUUAUGUUCAUAUAAUCUCUUUAUUGAAUGCUCAGGAUAAAGAAGGAACAGAUGAUAAUCCAGGAAAGACUCGUGCUCCUCUUUGCCUCUUUAGAAAUCAAACGGUGCAGGCCAACCCCAGGGGAUACUAGUGAGACUAGGGCUUCAGGGGUCUGUGACCGGUUCUUAUUCAUGUAUCAGCUUGCACAUAAAAAUCCUGGUUCCAUCGCCAAGCCCUUUGGAAACCAGUGGCAGAUGAACUAAGACAAGGCUUUUUUAUUCACCACGCUCCUGCAAGAAGCCAGGUGCAGCAGCAGCAGCAGCACAGGCUUUGGUGUUCCAGGUAAACUAGACCUGCUGGGCGUCUCCUCCCCAGAGUUUACCUCCCAGCAGGGGAGCCAGGCAGGUCCAGGCACAAGCCAGUGACUCCAUCAAAUAUAUCCCGUGGCAAUGCAUUUUCAGAAGCAAGGUUGCUGGUUGGCAAGGAGCUGCAGGAGACAGGAGGGGCUGCGACCGUGAGGCUUUGGAGGUGAGCAGAGUGAGGCCAGGAGCCCAGUGGGGAGUGUCAGGCAGGAGGACCAGAAGGCACAGAGACACCCUGCCCAGGCGAGGGUCAUUCUUGUGGAGAGAUUGUGUUGACCAGAGGGCCUGUUCCUGUGCCCUGUGAUUUUUAAAUUUAGAAUUGAGGUCUGCGUGUGCGGGGAAAUAUUGAUCCUUUCUUUGUGUCUGUGAAGAGAGCUGCAUAUAUUCAGAGUUUAAGAUAAAUGUACAUUCUAAUCGUUAGCAAUGCGGAUAAACUUUUCUUCAUGUCAGUGUUUGUGUGUGGAUUAUUUGACAUUUUGUAUGCCAGUUGUGGGUUAGGAAGGUAAAGGACUUGCUCAAGGUCAUGCAUGACACCUGUGGAUGUGAGAGCCAACAUUAAUCAUAAAUGACUUUGUGAGAUCUCUUCUGUAUGUAUAUAUACACAUAUAUAUACAUGUAUAUUACAUACACAUAUCUGCAUAUAUGUACACACACUAUAGAUUAUGUCUUAAUACGUAUUCUUUACUGCAUUCUGGGUUAACUUCACCAGUAACUUCUCAUUGGCACCUGUUUUCUUUCACCAACUUGCAAUGCAGAUAGGGCAGAUGCCUGCCUUAGGGUUCCGGGGGUCCUACAGAGAAUAUCACAGGAUUGAAAACAAGCCCAAAUUCCCCAGCAGAAGGCACUGCCAUGGCAACCACAAUGAGAAACGACUUCCUACUCUCUAGACAGGAGGCAUUAGAUAGCCAGGCAGUAGCAAGCUU
This 1287-nucleotide long non-coding RNA is filed under the name Marmota monax (woodchuck). Lineage: Eukaryota; Metazoa; Chordata; Mammalia; Rodentia; Sciuridae. The record is from RNAcentral.